Molecule: ribosomal RNA, 495 nt
Filed under: uncultured bacterium
Lineage: Bacteria
Description: partial 16S ribosomal RNA
Rfam family: Bacterial small subunit ribosomal RNA
Source: RNAcentral
GACGAACGCUGGCGGCGUGCCUAAUACAUGCAAGUCGAACGCUGAAGGAGGAGCUUGCUUCUCCGGAUGAGUUGCGAACGGGUGAGUAACGCGUAGGUAACCUGCCUGGUAGCGGGGGAUAACUAUUGGAAACGAUAGCUAAUACCGCAUAAGAGUAGAUGUUGCAUGACAUUUGCUUAAAAGGUGCAAUUGCAUCACUACCAGAUGGACCUGCGUUGUAUUAGCUAGUUGGUGAGGUAACGGCUCACCAAGGCGACGAUACAUAGCCGACCUGAGAGGGUGAUCGGCCACACUGGGACUGAGACACGGCCCAGACUCCUACGGGAGGCAGCAGUAGGGAAUCUUCGGCAAUGGACGGAAGUCUGACCGAGCAACGCCGCGUGAGUGAAGAAGGUUUUCGGAUCGUAAAGCUCUGUUGUAAGAGAAGAACGAGUGUGAGAGUGGAAAGUUCACACUGUGACGGUAUCUUACCAGAAAGGGACGGCUAACUACGUG